GACGAACGCUGGCGGCGUGCCUAAUACAUGCAAGUUGAGCGCUGAAGGUUGGUACUUGUACCAACUGGAUGAGCAGCGAACGGGUGAGUAACGCGUGGGGAAUCUGCCUUUGAGCGGGGGACAACAUUUGGAAACGAAUGCUAAUACCGCAUAAAAACUUUAAACACAAGUUUUAAGUUUGAAAGAUGCAAUUGCAUCACUCAAAGAUGAUCCCGCGUUGUAUUAGCUAGUUGGUGAGGUAAGGCUCACCAAGGCGAUGAUACAUAGCCGACCUGAGAGGGUGAUCGGCCACAUUGGGACUGAGACACGGCCCAAACUCCUACGGGAGGCAGCAGUAGGGAAUCUUCGGCAAUGGACGAAAGUCUGACCGAGCAACGCCGCGGGAGUGAAGAAGGUUGUCGGAUCGUGAAACUCUGUUGGUAGAGAAGAACGUUGGUGAGAGUGGAAAGCUCAUCAAGUGACGGUAACUACCCAGAAAGGGACGGCUAACUACGUG
Molecule: ribosomal RNA, 496 nt
Filed under: uncultured bacterium
Lineage: Bacteria
Description: partial 16S ribosomal RNA
Rfam family: Bacterial small subunit ribosomal RNA
Source: RNAcentral